RNAcentral lists this ribosomal RNA (497 nucleotides) under uncultured bacterium. RNAcentral describes it as "partial 16S ribosomal RNA". It matches the Rfam family "Bacterial small subunit ribosomal RNA", at positions 28 to 507 of the family's 1533-position model. The record is from RNAcentral.
GAUGAACGCUGGCGGCGUGCCUAAUACAUGCAAGUCGAGCGAACAGACGAGGCGCUUGCUCCUCUGACGUUAGCGGCGGACGGGUGAGUAACACGUGGAUAACCUACCUAUAAGACUGGGAUAACUUCGGGAAACCGGAGCUAAUACCGGAUAAUAUAUUGAACCGCAUGGUUCAAUAGAGAAAGACGGUUUUGCUGUCACUUAUAGAUGGAUCCGCGCCGCAUUAGCUAGUUGGUAAGGUAACGGCUUACCAAGGCAACGAGGCGUAGCCGACCUGAGAGGGGGAUCGGCCACAUGGGAACUGAGACACGGUCCAGGCUCCUACGGGAGGCAGCAGUAGGGAAUCUUCCGCAAUGGGCGAAAGCCUGACGGAGCAACGCCGCGUGAGUGAUGAAGGUCUUCGGAUCGUAAAACUCUGUUAUUAGGGAAGAACAAAUGUGUAAGUAACUAUGCACGUCUUGACGGUACCUAAUCAGAAAGCCACGGCUAACUACGUG